This 13204-nucleotide long non-coding RNA is filed under the name Vitis vinifera (wine grape). RNAcentral describes it as "long non-coding RNA (VVIN_LNC003587)". The record is from RNAcentral. Lineage: Eukaryota; Viridiplantae; Streptophyta; Magnoliopsida; Vitales; Vitaceae.
UUCAGGAAGAUUGGUUGCAGAAAUGAUUUUUUGAAUGUUGUCUUCAGCAAUGAGAUUAUAGUUAGAAGAACUAUAAAUCUCAGAAUCAAGAUUUCUUGCAAUCAUUCUUGAUCUCCAAUGUCUGAUUUGUUUUUUGAGACUGAAUUUAGUACGAGGCCAAGGGCACUCAGUACCAAACAAUUGAUAUUUUCUUUGAUUGACUUUGAGAAGAAUGAGAUGUUGAGCAAGGUAAACACCUCCAUCAUUAAACCAUUCAGGAGGUUUGCUUUCUAUAAUGAGUUCAACUUAUUUGAAAUCUCUGAUGAAGUCAUUUAAAACACAGAUUGCUAAAUGACUUCAUCAAGAAGAGUGAAGAAAGUGGAGAAGAGAGCAGAGCUUGAGAGAAAAUAUUCAAGAGUGUUCAAAAAAUUUCCUUCUUUGUAAUCUUUUCUUCCAAAAAUAUUAGUCCUUUGUAAUCAUCAGUUUGAGUCAUCCCUUUGCUGUCAACAACUCUCUGUAAUCAAGGUAUAUUUUCAAUACACAAUAUUUUCAGAUUCAUAUAUCUGUGUUUUAAUGUUUAAAUUUCUGCAAUAAAUUUGAAAGAAUUAGACAUUAAAUAUUUCCGUUUUUAUGCUUGGAGAUCAUUAGACAGAAUUAAUUAUUACAUGCAUGAACUGUUGUAUGUCCUGGGUGCAAAUGGUAUCAGAGCCACGUUCUGCUUGAGAACCGAGUAGUGUUACGAGUUGGAACAGUAAUUAAUCACAGAUUUAGUCCUAACUUAGUUUAGGUUGAAUUUCCUGUGAACUGAUUGGUCAGCCUGUGAUAGCGGUGUUUAAGGGCAGAAGGAGCGUAAGUCCCGAGUUGAUUCGCUUGUGGUGGUCCCUAUUCAGGAAAUUAUCUGAAUUGAUUAAGGAUAAAAUUGUGAUUAUUUUCUGUGACGAUGAGUAAUAUUAUGAGGGAAUUAAGUAGAACUAGUUCUUCCAGAUCUCUUAGGUCCCAUGACAGUUCUGCAUCUGUAUUAAAUAAUUCUGCAUAUAAUUUAGAAAGUUCUUCAUAUAAGAUAAUGAGAUUUUCAAAUGCAUCAUCAUCUGCAUCAUUACCUGCUACAUCAUUAGCUGCAUCAUCAUGGAGUCAUCAUAUAAAAUUUAAUAAUUCAAAAUUUAAUGAAGAAUUAAAUCAAAUAGAAAAUCAACUAAAAAAUAGUUCAAACUUUGUUCUUGAAAUUUCUCUUUUUGAAGAAGAGUCUGAGUAAAAAAUUUUCUCUCAUGAUAAACCUCCUUUAAACAUAAAUAUCAUUAGAAAAAGAUACAUUAAAAGAAAUCCUUUUGUUCCUGAAGUAGAAUUAAUUAAAGCAAAUUAUUUUUCUUCUGAAAAUACUGCAAAAAGAAAUUAUUUUCAACAACUUCCUCCUCAAGUUAGAAAUGCAUUAAGAAAACAAUAUGAAAAAUAUAUGCAACAAGUUAAGAUGACUAUUCCUUUUUUCCUUUGGUUUUUCAAAUAUAGGAAACCCCUUAAAAGAAUUGCAACAUUAACUUCAAGAAAAGCAAUAGAAAACUCUCCACAUAAUAAAAAAUUGUUAGAACAACAAAACACAAAUCCAGAAGAGUCAAGUAAAGAAUCAAAAGAAGAGUCAAGUAAAACAAAAUUUAAUCAAAUUUUGUUUUCUUCUACCCCGGGAGAGGUGAAGGAAUCAAAGAUAGAAGAAAAAACAAUAAAAGAAAUUAAUGAAAUACAAAAAAUAGAAAAUAAAGAAAAAACAAAAACAAUAAAUGUAAUAUCGUCAAAAGUAGAUAAGCAAAUAUUUUUUGAUGUUAUAGAUAAAAUUCAAGAUGAAGAAACACAAAAAAACUAUUUAAAAUUUUUUUUAAAUUUAAUUCUCAAUGAAGAUUCAAAUAAAAUUCAAAUCAAACCUACACAAUACUCAAUGGAUGAAAUUUAUAAUAGAUUCAAAAAGACUCAAAGGCCAAUAACCAUUAAAGACUUGGAAGAAGAAAUAAAAGAAAUAAAAAGUCAAAUAAAUCAAUUAAAAUUAGAAAAUGAACAAAUAAAAUUAGAAAACGAAAUAAUAAAACAAGAAAAUGAACAAAUUAGAAAUGUAAUACAAUAUAAACAAGAUUUUGCUGAAACCUCUGACAAUCAAGAUCCAGGAAUAAUAAUACCUAAUAAACAAACUCUUAUAGAAUCAUUUAUAAAUACAAUAACAAAAAUAGAUUUUCAAAGAUGGUAUACAAAUAUAAAACUCAUAGUAGAAGAUUUUGAAAUAGAAAUAGUAGCAUUAAUAGACUCAAGAGCUGAUAUGAAUUGUAUUCAAGAAGGAUUAAUUCCUGUUAAAUAUUAUGAACAAACCGGACAAGAACUUUUUGCUGCAAAUAAAGGAAAAUUAGAAAUAGAAUUUAAACUUCAAAAUGUUCAUAUAUGUCAAAAUAAUUAUUGUUUUAGAACUCAAUUUAUAUUAGUACAAAAUAUGACUGAACCUGUAAUCUUAGGAACUCCUUUUAUUACCUUACUUUACCCUUUUCAAGUAAAUGAUGAAGGUGUCAAAACUACAAUAUUAGGAAAUACUAUAUUUUUCCCUUUUAUAUAUCCAUUAACUAAAAAAGAAAUACAUCAAGUCCAAAGCGAUUCAAUAAAUAAAAGAAUAAAUUUAAUUCAAAGAAAACAAGCUCAUAUAAAUUAUCUAUCAAAAGAAAUUCAAUAUAAAAAGAUAGAAGAACAACUUGUAGAAGAAAAGGUUCAAAAGAGAAUAAAAGAGACUCAAGAUCUUUUUCAAAAAGAAAUUUGUUCUGAUCUUCCAAAUGCUUUUUGGUCCAGAAAGAAACAUGAGAUAAGUCUACCUUACAUUCAAAGCUUUGAUGAAUCUAAAAUUCUUACUAAGGCUAGACCUAUUCAAAUGAAUGAAAAACUUUUAGAAUAUUGUAAACAAGAAAUUGAUUCAUUAUUAAAGAAGAAAUUAAUCAGACCCUCAAAAUCUCCUUGGAGCUGCUCGGCUUUUUAUGUACAAAAUGCUGCUGAGAUAGAAAGAGGAGCACCAAGAUUAGUCAUUAAUUAUAAACCUUUAAAUAAAGUAUUACAAUGGAUAAGAUACCCUAUUCCUAAUAAGCAAGAUUUACUCAAAAGACUACAUAGUUCUGUAAUAUAUUUAAAAUUUGAUAUGAAAUCUGGAUUCUGGCAAGUUCAAAUUAAAGAAGAAGAUAUCUGGAUUUUUAGGACAUGAAAUUUUUUAAGGAAAAACAAAACCGAUUCAAAGGUCAAUAGAAUUUGCUGACAAAUUUCCUGAUGAAAUAAAAGAUAAAAAACAAUUGCAAAGAUUUUUAGGUUGUUUAAAUUAUGUUUCUGAUUACUUCAAAGAUUUGAGAAUCAUUUGUGAACUCUUAAAUAAAAGGCUUAGAAAAUUUGCACCUGCAUGGACUGAGCAUCAUACUAGUCUGGUUAAAGAAAUUAAACAAAGAGUCAAACGUUUACCAUGCAUCAGCAUCCCUCAUCCAAAUGCAUUGCUCAUUAUAGAAUCAGAUGCAUCCAAUUUAGGUUAUGAAGGCAUAUUAAAGCAAAAAUAUAACAAUCAAGUGCAUAUAGUUAGAUAUCAUUCAGGGAUCUGGUUGGGCGCUCAAAUAAAUUAUUCAAUUGUCACAAAAGAAGUUUUAUCCAUAGUUUUAUGUAUUUCAAAAUUUCAAAGUGAUUUGAUAAAUAAAAAAUUCCUUUUGAAAAUUGAUUGCAAAGCUGCAAAAGAUAUUUUACAAAAAGAUGUUAAAAAUUUAGUUUCAAAACAAAUUUUUGCAAGAUGGCAAGCUUUACUUUCAAAUUUUGAUUUUGGAAAUUGAAUUUAUCAAAGGAGAGUUGAAUUCCCUUCCUGACUUCCUUACUCAGGAGUUUUUGCAGGGUAAGGAUCCUUCUCCAUCCCAAUGGGCACUCCCGUUAGGCCUUAACUUCCUUCAUCAUCCAAGAAAACCAAAGCUUCAUAUGCUAUGAUUUCAAACUUUUCAAAUAUUCGUCCUACUUUUCCUUUGCAAACAUCAAAUUCCUUUCAAGUUUUGAGUCCAGAUUUUCCUCCUCUUCAACCUUCAAAAAGUUUUAUUCAAGCUUCUAAAUCAACUCCUAAAAAUAUUGCUGUUCAGAGACAAUCCAGCCCUAACACUAUCUCAACAUUACCUUCUCCUUCUCAGUCUCCUUCUCCUUCCCUUUCUUAUAGUCAAUAUGUCAAAAAACCCAAAACCUUAGAAAUUGCUUUCAUUGAGCCAGAGUUUAAUUAUGAAGAGAUUCCUAAAAUUUUUCCUUACAUCUUUCCUCAAGGAGUCAACUUCAAUUCAAAUGAUCAUUUGAAAACUCGUCAAUUUUAUGAGCUCAUCCUGGUAGACACCGAUUCAGUUGAAAUUACUCAUAACACUGAUAAAAACAAUCCUCAAAGGAUUGCUUUUUCCAAAUGUCAAAUUCUCAGAGUCAUGACCAUUGCUGAUUGGAAUAAAAAACCCUUCACUUGCAAAGCCUUUAGUCAACCUUUUCAUCCAAUGAGCUACAAUUACAUAGAUUAUAUGGAUGCCUGGUAUAAUAUGUUUUAUUUACAAAGCUACCAGCAUUCUUGGUUCAUCCAAUUUUCAAGAAAUUGCAAUAUCAAAUUUCCUGCUUGGUUUCAAAAAUGGUGGAAUUUCUUUGGUCUACUAGACUCAUUAUUUCCUCCUAAAAUUCAAGAAAAAUUCAAUUUCUACAAGAGCAAGACUUCAACUCAGUCUAUCACUCAACCGAGACUUCUAACUUUCUGUUCAAGAUUAAGAAUCCCAUGGAUUCUCUCAUGGAAUAUCAUCAAGAAGCAAGAGCAACCUCCUCCAUUUCCAUUAUCUCUUUCUAGAGAAUUCAGCAUCAAAUGGUGGGACAAAUUCAAUCAUGAUUUUGUAUGUCAACAGAAGAUUUUGCAAUUAAUAUCAACAAGGCCAGGAUCAUCAAAUUCAAAAGAUUCAACUAGUUCUUCUCAAGGACCGACUCAAGAAGAAUUCCUAACUUUGAAAAGCAAAUGUCAAGCUUCAUUAGCAGCCGCUACUGAUUUAGAGCAAUAUCGUCAAAGACUCAUUCAAACCCUCAAGCAGUUUGGAGAUCAAGAAAAUGAAGAAAUUGAGGAUGCAGUUUUAUCGGAUGAUUCAUAUGUAGACCCUCAGUUUAUCCUUUACGGAGGACCUAUGGGUCAGUCUACAUAAAAGAUUUCAACAAUCUUUUGUACAUCUGUAUAUCUGUACAAUCUUCUCUUUGUAUCUAUCCAGUAAAAAAAAAAUGUAGAAAAAAGAAUGUAAUAAGAGAUUGUAAAAAAAAAAAAAAAAAAAAGACAUGAAUAGUACAUGAAUAGUAAAAGGACGUGAAUAGUGGGAUCUGUCUCCCACUUUAAUCUUGGAAGGUAACGUGGAAGCCUUGGGAAAGAAGAGAAUGUCUUUUCUCUUUCUUCCCUCACUCUUUCUUCUGCAGAAGGCUCCACUUGGCCUACAUAUGAUGGAAUUCAAAACUUUCAAAAAUGAAGAUUCAACUCAAGUCUGAAUUCUCUCCUAUAAAUAGAGCUGCAAAUGGCUUCAUCAGGCAGAGUGAAGAAAGGGGAGAAGAGAGCAGAGCUUGAGAGAAAAUAUUCAAGAGUGUUCAAAAAAUUUCCUUCUUUAUAAUCUUUUCUUUUAAAAUAUUAGUCAUUUGUAAUCAUCAGUUUGAGUCAUCCCUCUGCUGUCAACAACUCUCUGUAAUCAAGGUAUAUUUUCAAUAAACAAUAUUUUCAUAUUCAAAUAUCUGUGUUUUAAUGUUUAAAUUUCUGCAAUAAAUUAGAAAGAAUUAGACAUUAAAUAUUUCUGUUUUUAUGCUUGGAGAUCAUUAGACAAAAUUAAUUAUUGUGUGCAUGAACUAUUGUAUGUCCUGGGUGCAAAUGGUAUCAGAGCCACGUUCUACUUGAGAACCGAGUGGUGUUACGAGUUGGAAUAGUAAUUAAUCACAUAUUUAGUCUUGACUUAGUUCGGGUUGAAUUUCCUGUGAACGAAUUGGUCAACCUGUGAUAGCGGUGUUUAAGGGCAGAAGGAGCGUAAGUCCCGUGUUGAUCCGCUUGUGGUGGUCCCUAUUCAGGAAAUUAUCUGAAUUGAUUAAGGAUAAAAUUGUGAUUAUUUUUUUGUGACAAUGAGUAAUAUUAUAAGGAGAUUAAGUAGAGGUAGUUCUUCCAGAUCUCUUAGGUCUAAUAAUAGUUCUGCAUCUUUAUCUCGUGAUUCUGCAUCAUUGACACAAAAUACUGUUAAUAGUCAAGAAAUAAAUAUAGCACAAAUAGAAAAUCAAUUACAUAAUUGGUCAAUUCCUCACAUGAAAAUUAAUACAAUAUAUCAACAAGGAAAUUUUGAAAUAAAUCAAAAUUAUUCAAUAAAAACUGAAGAAAAAACUAUAUCUCUUAAUCAAAAUUUAGAAAGUCUUCAAUUAUUGAGUCAAGACACUAUUAAUCAUCAUAUGAAGAAAUUUAAUUAUAUUCAUAUAGGAUUAGUUCAAGUUGCCAUAAAACCUUUGUUUCGUCUAGGUCUAGAUAUUCCUGUUUUUGUUUGUUUAAGAGACGCUAGGUCAACAAGAUUUACUGAUUCUGUCCUUAGCAUGAUUGAUUUAAACCUUGCCAAUGGUCCCGUUUAUUUUAAUUGUUUUCCAAACUUUUCUAUGAAUAUAAAUGACCCAAGUAUUCUUUCAAGUUUAACCUUAAACAUUAGAACCAAAAAUAUGAAUUUUGUAGAAGAAGCUCAAACUAUAGCAAUAAUUUAUAGGAUAUAUUAUAAAGUCAUGACAACUCAAUUAAAUCCUAGAGCUAUAUGUCAAUCUAUAAAAAAUGAAACAUUAUUAUUACAAUAUAAUCCUAAUAAUACUCAAGCUUUUGUUCCUAAAAAAUUAAAAUGGAAUGAAAUUACUCAAGGAGGUCAAUGGGUUCCAAAACCAAUUAAACCUUUAACAACUCCUUCAAAAAUUAUGCAACAUACAGAUGUACUAUUCAAAUAAAAUUUAAUCCAGCCUCUAGAUAUUCAUUUAAUCAAGAUUUUAUAUCUGCAAGACCUUCUACUUCAAAUCCUAGCUUAAAUGGUGUUGAUUUUACUCUAAAAAUUCCUAUUCCUGUAUAUCAGCAACAAGAAUCUCCUUUUGCUUCACCUACUCAUUUUGAUAUGUAUCCUAAUCAAGUUAAUAUUAUUCACAAGAAAAAUUAUAAAAAUACUCCUUUUACUCCUAAUAUAGAAUGGAUAAAAUCAUAUUAUUUUGCCCCUUAUAAUAAUACCAAAAGAGCUUAUUUUCAAACAUUUCCUCCUCAAACUAGAAAUGCAUUAAGAAAACAAUAUGAAAAAUAUAUGAAUCAAAAGAAAAUUACUAUUCCUUUUUUCUAUUGGUUUUUCAAACUUAAAAAACAAAAAAAACAAAUUACAACUUUAAGAGAUAAAGAAGGACAUGUAUUAGCAAUAAAACAUUCAGAAAAUGUUUAAAAAAGAAUCUUAACAAUAACCUCAGAAUUAGGUUUACAACCACCCUUAAAUAAUCAUCAAUUUAAUUUUGACAAUAAUUCAAUUUCUGCAUCACCCUUCAAAAUUCCAAGAACCAAAAAUGAACAAAGUCCCAUAAUUUAUAAGGAUAUUAGACAAGUUCAACAACAAUUAAAUUAUACAAAUCAUUCUCUUCAACAUUUAAGUCAACAAACAACAACAAUUUCCAAAUUUUUGUUUUCUUCUGCCCCGAGAGGGAAGAUAGGAGAAACAGAAACAUUAACAUCAAAAUCUUCAAAAAUUUCAUCAACUUUAUCAUCAUCAUCAUCAUCUUCUUCUAAAUCUCUAGAACAACCUUUUAUUAUUCCCAUAAAUGCUGCAAAAUCAAAUAUUCAAUUAUCCACACCAACAGAAACAAUGUUAAAAGAAAUACAAAUUAGAUUAGAUAAACUCAAUAUUAAUGGUAUUAAAAAUCAAAUUCAAACUAUAACAAAAGGAAAAUCAGAAAUACAUAAAAUAGAAGAACAAUUUAAAAUGUCUCCGGAUUCAAUAUAAAAACCCAUUGCAACAAUCAAUGCAAUUUCUAGUAAUUUUGUAAGUAGAAAAAAUUAUUAUUCAAAACCCUCGUUUCCUGAUGUUCAACUAGAAGAAAGAAAUUAUCAAUUAGCUGCUAAUUAUGAUGGUAGUAGUUUUUAUGAAUGGAAUAUAGAUGGAAUGAGUGAACAUCAAAUAAUUAAUUUACUUCAUGAAAUGAUGAUGGCUGCUAAUGCUUAUAGAAUCAAGACUAGUAAUUCUGACUUUCUUGCUGCGGGUGCCUUAGUAAUAGGAUUCACUGGGCUACUUAAAGGAUGGUGGGAUCAUUAUUUGAGUCAAAAUGAUAGAGAUUACAUAUUAAAUGCAAAAAAGAUAAUAGUCAAAGAAGAAGGAACGUCAGUUCAAUCUUAUGAAGAAGAUGUUGUCAAUACAUUAAUAUUUGCAAUUACAAAAUAUUUCAUAGGAGAUCCAGUUUAUUUUCAAGAAAGAACUUCUGAAAUCCUUAAUAAUCUUAGAUGUCCAACACUUCAGGAUUUCAAGUGGUAUAAAUAUAUGUUUUUGGUUAAAGUUAUGACAAGACAUGAUUGUGGAAGUCAUUAUUGGAAAGAAAAAUUUAUAUCAGGAUUACUUACUCUAUUUGCAGAAAAGGUUAGACAAAGAAUAAGAAAUAUUCAUAAUGGUAGAAUUCCUUAUGAGUCAUUAACAUAUGGAGAACUAGUUACUUUUGUCAAUAAUGAAGGAUUAGCUCUUGUACAGAUCUCAAAUUAAAGAGUCAAAUGAAAAAGGAAAAACAAGACAGUAAAAAAGAAUUAGGAAAAUUUUGUUCAUAUUAUGGUUAUGAUACAAUAGUUUCCCCUUCUAAAAGAAAAAAUAGGUAAAAUAAAAUAAAAAGUAAAAAAACCAUAUAUAGAGCCAAAAUUUCAAAAGAAGUUUGUAAAAAAUACUCCUAAUAAACCAAAAUCAUCAAAUAAAACAACUUUAAAGAAGAAAACACCAACAUGUUAUAAAUGUGGAAAAGUAGGACAUUACUCAAGAGAUUGUCAAUUAGAAAACAAGAUCAAUUCAUUAAAAAUAAGUGAUAAACUUAAAAAUUUAAUGAUAGGAUUAAUGAUUGAUAAAGAAAAUGAUGAAUCAAGUGAAAAUGAUGAAUCAGAAGAAGAUAAUCAAAUAUUAAUAACACAAAAAAUAUCAAGUGAAGAUUUAAGUCUAGAUAAAGAAUCAGAUAAUCAAAAAGAUUGUGAUGGUAUUUGUGCAUGCUCAUAUAAAUCAAUAAAUGUGAUUUCAAAAUAUUCAAAAUCUCAUCUCAUUAUUCGAAAUUAUGUGCCUCUUAUAAAUUCAAUAUAUUUUCAAUUUUGGUAUGAGAAAGACAAAGAUAUUAGGUAUUUGUUUUAUUCAUCAAAAGAGAUACUAAAAUUUGAAAUUUUUCUACAGAUGGAGCAAGAAAGGAUUACAUUUGGGAAAUUUACUCUUCCAGUAAUUCCUAAAAGUAAUCUGUCAUUCAGGAUUCAUAAAGAUAUAGAAGGAGUAGAUAGAUCACAAAAAUGCAUUUUAGACAACCUUUGGAAUGCAAAAAGUGAUAUUCAAAAGUUGGAAGCUUUAAAUGUCUUAUCUUUUCAUUUUAAACAGUUAAAUGAUAAAUUAGAAAGUUUUUCUAACACUUCAAGUUCUGAUAUACAUUGCAUCCCAAUGGAUACAGAUCUUGAAAAUUUCAUUUGCAGGAAAAAAGCAAAAGAAUCUAAAGAUACAUUUUCAAAAUCCUUUCAAAAUGAAUUUCAAAAAGAAAAAUCAAAUCAAAAUGAAGAUUUAAAACUUUCUGAGGAAAGCCAAGAAUUUCAACUUUCUAGAUUUUCAUUUUUCAAGCAAAAGAAUUUGAAUCUUCCUCAUUACAUUAGACGGAUGAUCAGUGAAAAGGCUAAAGCUACAGGGGAAGCAAAGCAAGAGCAUAUCAUGCAAUUUCUUGCUGAUUGUAGCACUUUUAGAAUUCCUAUUCAAUGGAUGAGCUUUACUUGGAUUUCUCAUUAUGACAACACUUAUAAUAAUUGUCCAAAGACCGAUCCCUUGUAUAAGGAAAUUCCAUUAGAAAGGCAUGACUGUAAGUGUGCUCUUACUUACAGUAUUUGCAAAGCCAAUAUUGAUCUAGACAGUUACAAACCGAUAAUCAUUAAGUUCAAUAAUGAGUCAAUCGAACUAACUCUUUCUCUUCUCAUGGAUUAUGGAAUUCUUUAUCAAUUAAUUUUCUCCAAUCUUGAUCAAACCGAUGGAUUUUGAAGAAAAUUAGCAGUCUGUGUUUUAAAUGACUUCAUCAGAGAUUUCAAAUCAGUUGAACUCAUUAUAGAAAGCAAACCUCCUGAAUGGUUGAAUGAUGGAGGUGUUUACCUUGCUCAACAUCUCAUCCUUUUCAAAGUCAAUCAAAGAAAAUAUCAAUUGUUUGGUAUUGAGUGCCCUUGACCUUAUACUAAAUUCAGUCUCAAAAAACAAAUCAGACAUUGGAGAUCAAGAAUGAUUGCAAGAAAUCUUGAUUCUGAGAUUUAUAUUUCUUCUAACUAUAAUCUCAUUGCUGAAGACAACAUUCAAAAAAUCAUUUCUGCAACCAAUCUUCCUGAAGUCCUUCUUUUUCAAACUCAAUUUACUUAUCUUGUUGAUAAGUACAAAAAGGAAUAUGUCCUUAAGGAAGAAGCCUGAAGAACUUUUGAAAAAUAUCUCUUAGAAAUGCUAGUUAAGAGAUAUCAAGAAUCUUUUGUAAAUCUGUAUCUUUGUAAACUGUUCCCUUGUGUUUAUCCAGUAAAAAAAAAAAAAAAGAUAGAAAAGUAUGUGAAGCCUGAAAGUGUGAAAAGUAUGUAAUGUAAAAAAUAAAAAAUAAAUAAAAGACAUGAAUAGUGCAUGAAUAGUAAAAGGACGUGAAUGGUGGGAUUUGUCUCCCCCUUUAAUCUUGGAAGGUAACGUGGAAGCCUUGGGAAAGAAGAGAAUAUCUCUUCUUUUUCUUCCCUCACUCUUUCUUCUACAGAAGGCUCCACUUGGCCUACAUAUGAUGGAAUUCAAAACUUUCAAAAAUGAAGAUUCAACUCAAGUCCGAAUCCUCUCCUAUAAAUAGAGUUGCAAAUGACUUCAUCAGGCAGAGGGAAGAAGGUGGAGAAUAGAGCAGAGCUUGAGAGAAAAUAUUCAAGAGUGUUCAAAAAAUUUCCUUCUUUGUAAUCUUUUCUUCCAAAAAUAUUAGUCCUUUGUAAUCAUCAGUUUGAGUCAUUCCUCUGCUGUCAACAACUCUCUGUAAUCAAGGUAUAUUUUCAAUAAACAAUAUUUUCAGAUUCAUAUAUUUGUGUUUUAAUGUUUAAAUUUCUACAAUAAAUUAGAAAGAAUUAGACAUUAAAUAUUUCCAUUUUUAUGCUUGGAGAUCAUUAGGCAGAAUUAAUUAUUGCAUGCAUGAACUGUUGUAUGUCCUGGGUGCAAAUGAUAUCAGAGCCACGUUCUGCUUGAGAACCGAGUAGUGUUACGAGUUGGAACAGUAAUUAUAUCANNNNNNNNNNNNNNNNNNNNNNNNNNNNNNNNNNNNNNNNNNNNNNNNNNNNNNNNNNNNNNNNNNNNNNNNNNNNNNNNNNNNNNNNNNNNNNNNNNNNUAAUUAAUGUUCCAACUCGUAACACCACUCGGUUCUCAAGCAGAACGUGGCUCUGAUACCAUUUGCACCCAGGACAUACAACAGUUCAUGGAUGCAAUAAUUAAUUCUGCCUAAUGAUCUCCAAGCAUAAAAACGGAAAUAUUUAAUGUCUAAUUCUUUCUAAUUUAUUGCAGAAAUUUAAACAUUAAAACACAGAUAUAUGAAUCUGAAAAGAAUAUUUUCUCUCAAGCUCUGCUCUCUUCUCCACUUUCUUCACUCUUCCUGAUGAAGCCAUUUGCAACUCUAUUUAUAGGAGCGGAUUCGGACUUGAGUUGAAUCUUCAUUUUUGAAAGUUUUGAAUUCCAUCAUAUGUAGGCCAAGUGGAGCCUUCUGCAGAAGAAAAAAGAGUGAGGGAAGAAAGAGAAGAGAUAUUCUCUUCUUUCCCAAGGCUUCCACGUUACCUUCCAAGAUUAAAGUGGGAGACAAAUCCCACUAUUCACGUCCUUUUACUAUUCAUGCACUAUUCAUGUCUUUUGAUUUUUAUUUUUUUUAUUUUUUACAUUACAUACUUUUCACACUUUCAGGCGGCUUCACAUACUUUUUUUUUUUUUAUUACUGGAUAAACACAAGAGAACAAUUUACAAAGAUACAAAUGUACAAAAGAUUCUUGAUAUCUCUUAACUUAGCAUUUCUAAGAGAUAUUUUUCAAAAGUUCUUCGGGUUUCUUCCUCAAGGACAUAUUCCUUUUUUUACUUAUCAACAAGAUAAAUAAAUUGAGUCUGAAAAAGAAGAGGGACUUCAGGAAGAUUGGUUGCAGAAAUGAUUUUUUGAAUGUUGUCUUCAGCAAUAAGAUUAUAGUUAGAAGAACUAUAAAUCUCAUAAUCAAGAUUUCUUGCAAUCAUUCUUGAUUUCCAAUGUCUGAUUUAUUUUUUGAGACUGAAUUUAGUACAAGGCCAAGGGCACUCUGUACUAAACAAUUGAUAUUUUCUUUAAUUGACUUUGAGAAAGAUGAGAUGUUGAACAAGGUAAACACUUCCAUUAUUAGACCAUUCAGGAGGUUUGCUUUCUAUAAUGAGUUCAACUGAUUUGAAAUCUUUGAUAAAGUCAUUUAAAACACAGACUGCUAAUUUUCUUCCAAAUUCAUCGGUUUGAUCAGGAUUGGAGAAAAUUAGUUGAUAAAGAACUCCAUAAUCCAUGAGCAGAAAAGAAGUUAGUUCGAUUGACUCAUUGUUGAACUUAAUGAUUAUCAGUUUGUAACUGUCUAGGUCAAUAUUGGUUUUGCAAAUACUGUAAGUAAAAGCACACUUACAGUCAUGCCUUUUUAAUGGAAUUUCCUUACACAAGAGAUCGGUCUUUGGACAAUUAUUAUAAGUGUUGUCAUAAUGAAAAAUCCAAGUAAAGUUCAUCCCUUGAAUAGGAGUUCCAAAAGUGCUACAGUUAACAAGAAAUUGCAUGAUAUGCUCUUGCUUUGCUUCCCCUAUAACUUUAGCCUUUUCACUGAUCAUCUGUCUAUGAGGAAGAUUCAAAUUCUUUUGCUUGUUAAUGAUAUUAAAAUAACCAAAAUCUUUGUAAGUGCAUCAAUGUUCAACUUUAUAUUAUUCCCUAACCUUUAAAAUAAUAAAUAUAUUUUAAUAUAAAUGAAAUAGAUAUAAG